ACUUAUAACAAUUUGGUGCGUGACUCGGAUGAACGCAACCUGAUAGAAAGACCUUCGGAGGGGGCGCCCUGCUGAUUUCAGCGGCCUUCGCUAGGACUACUUUCAUUCAGAUCCUUCACCGACGAACCCAAAAUUAGACACAAGCAAAUAAAACCGAUAAACCCCAGGCAACCUUUGUGCACGAAGCCCGAACAAAGACCCACGGUGUGGAAACAGUCGUCCAGACUGCGGAGAAAGGGUGGAUACAUGCCAGCCGUGUUAAAGGACCCAUCUGUGAUGAGAAGUGGGAGAUUGCUCCAGGAAACAAAGACCUGAAGCUCACAUUGCGACAAACUCGAUAGGUACCGUGGGUUAAGGUAGAGGCUCUCCCCUGAAGAACACUACUGCUGCCGAGAAGAACUAAAACCUCAUAGUUGGCUGCAACCCAACUGACGAGUGAGGCAGAGGAGUGAAUAAGUGGGGAAAGAAAUGGGCCUCAGCCAUUCCUAUCAGUAUUUGGGGGUUCUCGCAGUGAUUUCAUCCUGCAUAGCGACUCAACACCACCCCCACCAACCUUUUAAAUGGACUUUAAGUCGAUUCGAAGAUCAACAGGUUAUUGCAACCCAGAUAACAUCAGGGGGGGGCCAAGCUUUACUUCUACACUAUGUCAGCUGAUCUCGAGGCCCCGAUGCUGGGAAUAUAUGGGAUUUUAUUUCUGCCCAAGUUCUAACCCGGGAACGGGGUACUGUAAAUGCCUGAACGUGUAUUAUUGUGCAUACCGGGGGUAUGAAACCAUUGCUACAGACUGGACACUCGGGGCUGGUCAGGAUAAAUUCUUACAAGUGGGAUAUGGGCUGCAAGGUUGUAACUGACAAUUGGAUCCUUGUUACAGGUGGCGAGGGCAUGGUAUAGGGUAUACAGGAACCUUCCACGGAAAUAAGGAAAUAUGCAAGGUUCUAUAUAUAAAUAACAAACUUGGAUGAUACUAGCUGGGUACUAGGAAAAAUGUCAGACAUCUUUUAUGAACACGGAACAGAUAGGGGAGGACUCAUACUAAUAAAGAAGGAAAAACCCGAGACUUCCGAGGUAGUCGGGCCUAAUAAAGAGUUAAGAGGGGAAGGUUUGGUUGUCCAGGCUGUAAAGAUACCUGGGACUGCCCAACCUACUACAGUGUUUUCUAAUAAGUCGACAGAGUUAUCCUUUCCCACACUGCUUCCAAGCAUUGUGAAAAAA
Anas platyrhynchos (mallard) is the source of this 1212-nucleotide non-coding RNA. The record is from RefSeq and is a predicted model, not a curated record. NCBI's taxonomy places the organism in Eukaryota, Metazoa, Chordata, Aves, Anseriformes, Anatidae.